AGUGAACGCUGGCGGUAGGCCUAACACAUGCAAGUCGAACGGCAGCACAGAGGAGCUUGCUCCUUGGGUGGCGAGUGGCGGACGGGUGAGGAAUACAUCGGAAUCUACUCUGUCGUGGGGGAUAACGUAGGGAAACUUACGCUAAUACCGCAUACGACCUACGGGUGAAAACAGGGGAUCUUCGGACCUUGCGCGAUUGAAUGAGCCGAUGUCGGAGUAGCUAGUUGGCGGGGUAAAGGCACACCAAGGCGACGAUCCGUAGCUGGUCUGAGAGGAUGAACAGCGACACUGGAACUGAGAGACGGUCCAGAGUCCUCCGGGAGGCAGCAGUGGGGAAUAUUGGACAAUGGGCGCAAGCCUGAUCCAGCCAUACCGCGUGGGCGAAGAAGGCCUUCGGGUUGUAAAGCCCUUUUGUUGGGAAAGAAAUCCAUCUGGUUAAUACCCGGGUGGGAUGACGGUACCCAAAGAAUAAGCACCGGCUAACUUCGUGCCAGCAGCCGCCGCGG
This 506-nucleotide ribosomal RNA is filed under the name uncultured bacterium. RNAcentral describes it as "partial 16S ribosomal RNA". It matches the Rfam family "Bacterial small subunit ribosomal RNA", at positions 29 to 523 of the family's 1533-position model. The record is from RNAcentral.